RNAcentral lists this transfer RNA (85 nucleotides) under Lutibacter profundi. Its description in RNAcentral is "tRNA-Leu". It matches the Rfam family "tRNA". From Rfam's summary of the family: Transfer RNA (tRNA) molecules are approximately 80 nucleotides in length. Their secondary structure includes four short double-helical elements and three loops (D, anti-codon, and T loops). Lineage: Bacteria; Pseudomonadati; Bacteroidota; Flavobacteriia; Flavobacteriales; Flavobacteriaceae. RNAcentral also lists the same sequence under 6 other names. The record is from RNAcentral.
GCGGGCGUGGUGGAAUUGGUAGACACGCUAGACUUAGGAUCUAGUGCCGCAAGGUGUGAGAGUUCGAGUCUCUCCGCCCGCACAA